GGGCAAGUGGCGGAAUCGGCAGACGCGCUAGCCUUAGGAGCUAGUCCCGCAAGGGGUCAGGGUUCAAAUCCCUGCUUGCCCACCA
This 85-nucleotide transfer RNA is filed under the name Chloroflexota bacterium. Its description in RNAcentral is "tRNA-Leu". It matches the Rfam family "tRNA". From Rfam's summary of the family: Transfer RNA (tRNA) molecules are approximately 80 nucleotides in length. Their secondary structure includes four short double-helical elements and three loops (D, anti-codon, and T loops). The record is from RNAcentral. Lineage: Bacteria; Bacillati; Chloroflexota.